Molecule: ribosomal RNA, 879 nt
Filed under: uncultured bacterium
Lineage: Bacteria
Description: bacterial SSU rRNA
Rfam family: Bacterial small subunit ribosomal RNA
Source: RNAcentral
AAAUGGCAGUUGAUACUGUCAGUCUUGAGUACAGUAGAGGUGGCGGGAAUUCGUGGUGUAGCGGUGAAAUGCUUAGAUAUCACGAAGAACUCCGAUGCGAAAGGCAGCUCACUGGACUGCAACUGACACUGAUGCUCGAAAGUGUGGGUAUCAAACAGGAUUAGAUACCCUGGUAGUCACACAGUAAACGAUGAAUACUCGCUGUNUGCGAUAUACAGUAAGCGGCCAAGCGAAAGCAUUAAGUAUUCCACCUGGGGAGUACGCCGGCAACGGUGAAACUCAAAGGAAUUGACGGGGGCCCGCACAAGCGGAGGAACGUGUGGUUUAAUUCGAUGAUACGCGAGGAACCUUACCCGGGCUUAAAUUGCAGUGGAAUGAUGUGGAAACAUGUCAGUGAGCAAUCACCGCUGUGAAGGUGCUGCAUGGUUGUCGUCAGCUCGUGCCGUGAGGUGUCGGCUUAAGUGCCAUAACGAGCGCAACCCUUAUCUUCAGUUACUAACAGGUCAUGCUGAGGACUCUGGAGAGACUGCCGUCGUAAGAUGUGAGGAAGGUGGGGAUGACGUCAAAUCAGCACGGCCCUUACGUCCGGGGCUACACACGUGUUACAAUGGGGGGUACAGAAGGCAGCUAGCGGGUGACCGUAUGCUAAUCCCAAAAUCCUCUCUCAGUUCGGAUCGAAGUCUGCAACCCGACUUCGUGAAGCUGGAUUCGCUAGUAAUCGCGCAUCAGCCACGGCGCGGUGAAUACGUUCCCGGGCCUUGUACACACCGCCCGUCAAGCCAUGGGAGCCGGGGGUACCUGAAGUACGUAACCGCAAGGAUCGUCCUAGGGUAAAACUGGUGACUGGGGCUAAGUCGUAACAAAGGUAGCCGUAAAGCC